This 126-nucleotide ribosomal RNA is filed under the name Wolbachia endosymbiont of Drosophila chauvacae. Its description in RNAcentral is "partial 23S ribosomal RNA". It matches the Rfam family "Bacterial large subunit ribosomal RNA", at positions 2787 to 2925 of the family's 2925-position model. The record is from RNAcentral. Lineage: Bacteria; Pseudomonadati; Pseudomonadota; Alphaproteobacteria; Rickettsiales; Anaplasmataceae.
GGGAAACCCACCUCAAAACUAGGUCUCCCCAAGGGCCGUGAUAGACCAUCACGUCAAUAGGCCAGGUGUGGAAGCGCAGUAAUGCGUGCAGCUAACUGGUCCUAAUCGCCCACGAGAACUCACUUG